Molecule: ribosomal RNA, 253 nt
Filed under: uncultured bacterium
Lineage: Bacteria
Description: partial 16S ribosomal RNA
Rfam family: Bacterial small subunit ribosomal RNA
Source: RNAcentral
UACGUAGGGCGCAAGCGUUAUCCGGAAUUAUUGGGCGUAAAGAGCUCGUAGGCGGUUUGUCGCGUCUGCCGUGAAAGUCCGGGGCUCAACUCCGGAUCUGCGGUGGGUACGGGCAGACUAGAGUGAUGUAGGGGAGACUGGAAUUCCUGGUGUAGCGGUGAAAUGCGCAGAUAUCAGGAGGAACACCGAUGGCGAAGGCAGGUCUCUGGGCAUUAACUGACGCUGAGGAGCGAAAGUGUGGGGAGCGAACAGG